Long non-coding RNA from Lolium perenne, 1424 nucleotides. RefSeq lists it as uncharacterized. NCBI's taxonomy places the organism in Eukaryota, Viridiplantae, Streptophyta, Magnoliopsida, Poales, Poaceae. The record is from RefSeq and is a predicted model, not a curated record.
AACCGCAUUACCGUCCAAGCUAACCACACAGCGCAUCUCUCUUCCUUCCCUUCGUCGGUUGCCAUCCUCUCCAUUCCCCUCUCCGCCUCUAGGCUUGGUCCACUCUUCUCACGAAUCCACCGCUAAAUCGGGCUCGUUGGCGGCGAGACGACCGGCGGAAAUCAGCGCUGAUCCGGUGUACUGCUUGUGGGGGAGUACUGGUGGGCGUCGAUGGCGGGGUCGUGUGGAUCGACACUCCCAACGUGCUUUCCAUGGCGAGAUCCCUCCCUCCACCCCCUCAUAUCACCUCCUCAUCCCCCACCACCCUCGCCAUGGCCACAACCGCGGCCUGCGCGGCCUCCCUCCUCCGCUGCAGCGUGCGCGGGUCCGGCCACCUGCAGGGCGCUCUUCCCAACCUCCGUGACGUCUCUGCGCGCGUACCCGCCGCUGCUCCUCACGUUCCGCCGCCCCGCAGCAUCCACCACCGCGACCCCGCAGAACGCGGCCAUAGAGGACGAGGAGCAGGACGAGGUGCCCGUCCAGUUCGACGACAUCAACGACAAGUCGACAAUUACGAGGAUGGGUUCGUUCGGUGGCGCGACCUCCUGAUUCGACGCGUCCGAGGCCGGUGACCGUCACGGGAGGGCCGCUGAGGGACCGUCGUCGACUCUUCAUCGCGAAUCGACGCGUCCACAGUGUGCACCACAGCCGGUUGAGGUCUGUUAUUGUCUGCUUGUUACCGCAUCUCUUCAUGUGCAGAGGAAGAUGGUGCUGCUGAAGACCAUCGGGAAGUACAGGGUCGGGCCGGACCAUUGGAAAGGAUGCCUUUGCCAAGGUCAGGCUCGUCGUCGACGUAGAGACCAGCGGCACCGUCGCCGUGAAGUUCAUCGACAGGAGCACGGUUUUCUGGAACAACCUCAUGUAUCAGUUUUUUGAAGGUGAAGAGAAAGAUCAGCGCGAAGCUUCUCAAUCACCCGAACAUAGUUAAGAUACACGACCUAAACAGAUGGGAUUCGUUGGUCGCGUGAAGGGCGAAGAUAUGCCUGGUGAUGGAGUAUGUUCCAGGAAGGCAGCUAUCCUACAAGCUAGUAAGAUAGCCAAACCGUUCUUGAUUAUAGUCUCAAAGACUUGGUUAAACCAGUUAAAGCAUAGCAGGGUAUUAUCUUAUGAAGAUUUCAUAAAUUCCAAAAUUUCGAAGAUAUUGAAAUGCUCCUGGGAGAUUUCAUGUAUCCCAUGCUUCCUUACAGGUUCUUUGCGCAUGAAGUUUGUCAUGUUUCGUGUCAGUUCGAGAUGUUCAUGGGUUGUCACAGUUCACAUUUCUAGUUCCAUAGUCUAGUUGUAAGUUUGGUUCCUAAAACUAGGCAAAACCUGAUGCUUUUGUAAAUGCUCUGUACUGCAAGUACAAAUAUAUACAUCCUACUAUGCAAAUCGUGAUGUAUCUUUUA